This 121-nucleotide transfer RNA is filed under the name Macrophomina phaseolina. Its description in RNAcentral is "tRNA-Val". It matches the Rfam family "tRNA". From Rfam's summary of the family: Transfer RNA (tRNA) molecules are approximately 80 nucleotides in length. Their secondary structure includes four short double-helical elements and three loops (D, anti-codon, and T loops). Lineage: Eukaryota; Fungi; Ascomycota; Dothideomycetes; Botryosphaeriales; Botryosphaeriaceae. RNAcentral also lists the same sequence under 1 other name. The record is from RNAcentral.
AGUCCUAUGGUCUAGUGGUAUGACGUUCGCUUCACAGAUUAUGAGUUUCGAGCCUUCAAACGUGAGAAAUGCAUUCCUGUAGAAGCGCGAAAGGUCCCGGGUUCGAUCCCCGGUGGGACUA